Molecule: long non-coding RNA, 250 nt
Filed under: Ricinus communis (castor bean)
Lineage: Eukaryota; Viridiplantae; Streptophyta; Magnoliopsida; Malpighiales; Euphorbiaceae
Description: long non-coding RNA (RCOM_LNC002101)
Source: RNAcentral
UGCAAUAGCAAGAGCAUUCUUGUAGGCAUUGAUGAACAUGUGUGGUGCAGCAGCAAGGGUUGGAUAUGAGAUGGCCAAGGCCAAUGAGGUGACCAUGGAGACACCAAUAGCAAACUUGCCAAUGAGAUCAUCCUCAGUCAGAUCAAGAACCUCUGGGCUGAAGACAGAGCCAUUAUCAUAAACAGACAAUACAAUAAGACCAUAUGAGAAUGGCCUUAUACCAAGCUUUGCCAGAAGAGCAGCCUCAGAA